This 12915-nucleotide long non-coding RNA is filed under the name Fragaria vesca (wild strawberry). RNAcentral's name for it is "long non-coding RNA (FVES_LNC000047)". Lineage: Eukaryota; Viridiplantae; Streptophyta; Magnoliopsida; Rosales; Rosaceae. The record is from RNAcentral.
UUUGAUAUCCAAUUAUUCGAACCUUUAGACUAUUAAUUAGUAGAUAGGCCUAGAACCAUAGUGAUAGUGCCCUAACAAGGUAGGGAAUUAUUACAAGAAAUAAUAUCGUAAACCCGUUCCAAAAUGAUAAGCCAUGAUUCGCCAAAUUCCAAAACUUGCCGCAGCUGCGUCACUGACUUGCCCAUUCCUCUUAAAAGAUCGUGGAGCUCGUGGCGUAGGCAGUGCUGUAGACCAUCGUUUUCUUCUUCAGACGUGGGUGCUCGACCCCGGAUUGCUUCUCGAAGGCGUGUUUCUAGACGCUGGAAAUUCCAUGAAUCUUCAAGAUCUUUUUCAGUCUGGUUUCCAUAUGGGUCAGCGAAUCAGGCAACAGACCGGUCAAAUUGGUUAGAAUGUCGUCGAACAGAGUGCCAUCAGUGCCACCAUACUUGCCACCACAGUUGCCAUCAACAACAAUACUGAAACACGUGCCAUCGAUGUUAAACUUAUCAUCGAGCUUAAAAUCCUCUAACCUGAGUGAAUCAUCGAGCAAAUGCUUCUCGAAAUCCUUAUAAAGUUUCUUUUGCUGACGGAUGAAUGUCUUGAUACUAUCAUCUAGCUGCUGGACUUGAGAGACGUAUGCCUUGAUACCAUCGAGGAUUGCCCUAGGAUCUUUCUGGGCCCUGACCACUGAGAUCUCCUCCAAGAGAGAGAUGCCAUGCCGGAUAGUUUCAUCCAAUGUGUGCAGCAAAUGGAUGGAAAGUUCGUCUAAAUCUCUUAAGGCCGAAUGGAAAAUUUCAAAGGCGAGUUCCAGAUCGUCUAAUAGAGACUCGACAUCCGGGGACAAACUGCGCGUGAUCUGACAUAGGCUUGACAUCCGGUGGAAAUUGGAUGUGAUGUCCUUCUCCAAAUCCGGCCCCAACAACAUCCCCCCAAGUAGAAGACGACCAGUCUUAGGGCAAGUUGACAACACUCUAUCUUCAUGAAGACGACCAGUCUUAGAGCAAGUUGACAACAAUCUAUCUUCAGGAAGACGACCAGUCUUAGAGCAAGUUGAUAAUCUUGAUACAUCUUCAAAGAUUUGCUCCAACUGCAGAGACAUCUUCUCGUCCUUCUUGUCGGUCGUCUCCGCAAGGGCCCUGGUAUCAUCUUUGAUAUCAAAGGAUAGGAAUGCCGUCAAAACUAUAAAGCUCGUCUUGAAAUUCGAACUGACCUUGUCUAUUUGCUCGGAGUAAAUGGGGAUUAUCUUCUUCAGCUUGUGGGCGAUCCCUGAUGACUUAUUCAUCCUGUCCACGAGCUGGGUAGCUUGGUGGAUGUCUUCUUUGAGCACCUUGAUGAGUUCGGUAGGUACCCCAUUGACAAAUUCUCCAGGUACCAGCGGAGAUUGAGUGUCCAGUCGGGCAGCAAUCGACUUGAGACACACCAAGUUGGAAUUGAGCUUGCGAACAUUCGGUCCGAGCUCUUUGUAUUUAUCGUAGAGGCGGUUAGCGUCUGCGAUAAGUUUGGCUAUUUGGAAUGCGAGGCCCACGGCCCCUGCGACAACUCCCAAUGCCCCGGCCAUCGAAGGAGAGAGUGAUGCGCCGUUUUGGGAAUUCGAUCUGUUUCUGUUUCUCUUUGAGAGGGAGAGUGGUAGAGCUAGGGUAGGGUUUUGUGGGAUACUGCGUUGGACUUGAACACCAACAUUAGAAUUAUUACAAAAAAAAAUAUCGAAAACCCCGUCCACAAAGUUAAUCCAUGAUUUGCCUAAUUCCAAAACUUGUCGCAGCUGUGUCACUGACUUGCCCAUUCCUCUUAGAAGAUCCUGGAGCUCGUGGCGUAGACCAUCGUUUUCUUCUUCAGACGUAGGAGCCCGGCCCCGGAUUGCUUGUGUUUCUAGACGCUGGAUUGCUCCUUUCAGUUUGGCGAUGCAUGCUUUUCCGAGGUAAUAUCCUAGUUCUUCUGCUGCAACGCGAGGUCCUUGAUUCCGAUGGCGGAAGUUUUCUUCUAGACGAGGGAUUGCUUCUUCCAGUUCCCGGAUGUCUUCAAGCUCUAGAUAUGGGCGGUCUUCGUGUUCCACAUUCUCUGCGAAUUUUUUUUCUAGACGGCGGAUUACUUCUUCCAGUUCAACUACUAGACGGUGUCGUUCCUGUAAUAUUCGAUUCGACGUCGGCAUUGUUCUUCUUGUCCUUAUAUUUCUGCCCUACACAAGGUUAUUUAUAGGGAUUGUUUUAUGUAAUGCUAUUCCCAACAUGAAAAAGGAAAACAUUCCUUGUGAAGCAAGUGAUAAGAAAUAUAAUCCAACUAGAAUAAGGAAUUACCAUGUUUUUGAGAAGCAAGUAAAAUCCUAUUCCCAACAUAAAAGAAAACAUUCCUAAUACCACUAUAACAAGGAAAGUUCUCAAAAACAAUCCUAAUACCACUAUAAUUAGUUAAAAGACGUUAUGGUGAAGAAAGCAAUGCUAAAAUCCCCACAAUUACAAUGAUCGCUAAAUGCUAAACCUAUUGUCUUUACUCUCUCCCUCUCUUAACGUUUUUGAGAAGCUGAGUUUCUCAAGAAAAACUAAUUCUUGUUGCAUAACUACCUUGACAAGACAACUUAAAGAUUAAUAAGAACCUUUCAGUUUUCUUAUCAGUAUUAAAUGCCAAAAUUUAAUCAAAUAUUUCUUGGAAAAAUUGAAAAUUGUAUAUAACUUGAAGCAUGAAUGAGAAUAGAGAAAAACAAAGUAGUGGUAGAAACAAGAGAUGAAUACUCUUAACAAAAAUUAGUGCAAAGCGCAAACUAGUACAAUAAUGGAAGCAGAAAACCAUGCAUACUACAUUUUGACGUGAGUGGUCAGUUAGUGUCUUUUCCUUGAAUAACAAGAAAUGAUACUUAGGGUAUUUGGUUUCAUAGAUCUAACCGGCCAGCAUGCCCAGAAACAAAAUAGGUAGCCCUUCUCUUUAACUACCUAUCUAGGUAGGUAAAUAACGUAUUAGUGGAUUAAUCUAUGCUGUUAUUAGGACAAAAGCCAAACCAUAAAACAAAAGGCCAAACCUAAUUCUUUGUUCUCAGUACCCUCUCUUUGAAAAGUAUAGGAGCUCUAGAGAAAAACGGUUGUUAUUUUUAUUCUUCUUUCAACUUUUGGCAAGAACCUCAAACCAAACAAAGUUGACUUGUCUUGAGUUUUAACACGAAUACGUAGGAGCAAUGGCACGAAACUCUUUCUUGAUUUCUCCCAUACCUCUUUAUCAUAGAGUAAUCCCCGAAUGUAUAUAAAACCUUAGAGGAACACAAUAAAGUUUCAACACACCUAUACUGCUCCUCAUUGCUUCAGACAAACACAAAUACAACAUAUUGACUCUAAGGAGGAGAACAGAAGAGAAUGGCUACUAUGAGGAUUUCUGGUAUGAUCUUUCAGUGUGUGUUUGAAGGAAGUCUAUCUAUGCAGGACACUGAAAUUGAGGGAAGGCCAUACCAUAAGAACUGCAAUUGUAUUUAAGGGAAGGCCAUACCACAGGUCCAAGGGUGGUGCUUGCUCCAAUGCUUGUCCUCAACAUAGAAACAUUUCCUUCCCCAAGAAACAGUCAUGGGCCGACAAUUCCAUAUGCAUUGCAGCAACUCCAAAGCAUUCUUCUCAGCAUUCUUGUCUGGCUAACACUUCCGCGUCCAACUCCAAAGCAUUCAUCUCAGCAUUCUUGUUGCAUAACUACCUUGACAGACCUUUCAGUUAUUCUUAUCAGUACUAAAUGCCAAAGUUGAAUCAAAUAUUUCUUGGAAAAGUUGAAAAGUGUCUUUAACUUGAAGCAUGAAUGAGAAUAUAUAGAGAAAAACAUAGUGGUAAAAACUAGAGACGAAUACUCUUUAACACAAAGUAGUGCUACUUAACUAGUAUAAUAAUGGAAGCAGAAAACCAGACUACAUUUUGACAUGAGUGAUCAGUUAGUGUCUUUUAUUUCCUUGAAUAACAAGAAAUGAUACUUAGGGUAUUUGGCUUCAUAGAUCCAAUCGCCCAGCAUGCUCUGAAACAAAAUAGGCAGCCCUUCUCUAACUACCUAGCUAGGUAGUUAAAUAACGUAUUAGUGGAUUAAUCUAUGCUGUUAUUAGAACAAAAGCCAAACCAUAAAACAAAAGGCCAAACCUAAUUCUUUGUUCUCAGUUUCAACUUUUGGCAAAAACCUCAAACCAAACAAAAUUUAUCCAUAGUCUAGCUUCCCAUUGUUGUAUACCAAGAUCAAAAUCAUCAAUGUGUAGUUUUACAUGGCAAAAAAAACGUAGAAAUUUCAUUGAAUCAAAGUUUAAGUUCAUCUGCAUAUGGACAAAAUGCAGGCAGUAGUAGUUUUAAUAGUGUAGUCAAAGCCAAGGAGUUUCAUGUUUAUAUUCUCUUACUAUUUUAUUUUGAUGAACAAGAAUUGCCAAGCACGUUAAAAGAAGACUGAUCGAUGUUGUAGCAUUCUGCAGAAAAGUUAAAGAAACAUGAGAAUGUCCAUACAAAUCACAGUGAUUAUUGUUGUAAAAAUGCCAAAGUUAAACACCAUAUUUUAUAUCUCCCUAACAUGACUUGUACCUUGUAGCUAAACAAGUAACAGAAUGAUUCUCACCAAAAACAAGAUAAAAGAAGGUCGGUUAAAAAACGUUAUUACGGAGAAAAGUGGAAACUAUGCAAAUCUAUUUCUCUUUCAACUUUCAAGUAGGGGACAAACUUGAGGGAGGGAAGCUGAAUAUUUCAAGAAAAACUAUAUAUUGUCUUGUUGAAUAACUGCCUUGAUAAGAUAUCAUUAUAUCUGAAAAGACCAUAGGAAACUUCAAAUGGGCAAUAAGCCAAGCACAAACGUAAUUCCUAUUCAAAGUUAAUCCCUCAAUUCGAUGAUGAAUUCAACCCAACAUGUAACAAGCCAAGCAUGAUUUUCAGAAAAUCUCAAAAUUUCCAAGCAAUAGGAAGUUAGGAACCAUGAAAGAGAACGGAGACGAACAAAAUUGUGGUUAAAACUAAGGUUCAUUAUCUCAACACAAAUAUGAAUUAUAAACAAAUAUAAUGAUGGGAGCGCAAAAAGCAUAUUACGUUUUAACAUGGUUAAUCGUGGGUGUCUUUUACUUAUAUAACGAAUAAUUGAUGCUCGGACCAAGACCUAUAUGACUAUAUCAGUUAGCUGCAUAGAGUUAACCGCCAAGCAUAGAUUAUAGUUAUGCAGCCUCUCCUAACUACCCAGUUAGGUAAAUAACGUCUUUGUGGAUAAAUCUAAGCUAUUACUAAAGCGUAGAAACCCACUAAUACUUAGAUAUUUAAGCCAAAGACAAAGACACAACCAGAAAACAAGAAGCCAAUACGACUAGUCUUUUCUCUCUCCCCCUCCCUCAGUGCAAAAACCCGAGAGCCUUAGAAAUAAACGUUAUUAUUAGUCUUCUCCAAUUUGGCAAAAAACAGAACCACAAACCGUACAAAAUGAUCUCUUUGAUUUCUCCCACGGCCCAUUUAUCAUACAUAUAUACCCUUCUCUAUAUAAAUGAUUCAGAAACCACUAAAUUUUCAACACUCAACUCACACAACUAGUACACUGCUCACUUAUUCAACACAUUCUAAAGAAGAGAAUAGAAGAGGAUGACUACCUUCGGAGCUUCUGGCAUGACGUUUCAGUGUGUGUCUGAAGGAAGCCUAUCAAUGCGGGACACAGAAAUUGAACGAAGACCGUACCAUAAAAAUUGCAACUGUGCACUUCACAAGUCUAAGAGGGGUGCUUGUUCCAAUGUCUGUCCUCAACAAAGUAACCUUUCCUUCCCUAAGAAACAUUCAUGGAUCGAUGGCUCAUUGUGCAUGUCAGCAACAAUUUCCAAAUCCUCCACUCCACCCGGCGCCACAUCCAUUUCCGUCGGAAAUAUGGAAAGACUUAAUGGUGUCCAAUCCUUGUCUCACUCCGUCGGAAAUAAGGAAAGUAUUAAUGGUGUCCAAUCCUUGUCUCACAGAUGAGGGAUACAGGUUUGAUGCGACUGUACUUGAGUUAGAAGAAAACGGUCAGGAACUAGGAAGCAAUUUUGAAUUUUACGUUUCUCUUAUCCUGGAGCCCCAGCACCAGUCCUCAAGAUAAAAGCUAAUUUUGAGAAACUGGUCCUUGUGAGCUAACUUCUUCUAGCUUCAUCCAUGUAAAUUCUACUGAGUUUUCUGUAGAGAUUAUUGCCACAUUACUUAAAUACAACUGAAGCUUCACACAGCAAAUCUGAGUCUCUCUGUCUGAGAUCAUACUUGCAUAUGCCCUUUUCCCAAUUCUACCAGGGUGUACAUUGACUACAGUCUACAAUAUACUAUGUUAACAUCAUUUCGUUUCAAAGAGGUAUUUUUUUUUUUUUUUUUUCUUCAUUUUCAUUUUCCAAUGAAGAGAGAGAGAGAGGACAAGGGUAAGAGACAAAAGGAAGGAGAAGAUGAAAAUGCCGUUAAAUGGGGAAAAAAGAUUGACCACAACAUUCAAUUUUGCUUCUCCAAAACCAUAAGUAGGGACAGAAAUCGUAUAUUUGAGAUUAUGCACUUGUGUCUGUUCUUAACAUGAAAUAACUGGUAAAAAUGACCUCAAGCAUUCCAAUUGGCAAUCUCUAAACCACAGUAGCUGUAAAAAGAUCGACUCAAUAGUUUCACUAAGCUGCUGGAUAUAUUAAGCCUUUCUGCAGACAUGGAUAACAAAAAAGUUUAAAAAUUGAAUGCAGCAAGUCUUUGUCGAUCAUUAGUAAUUUAUUAACAGGAUAUGCAUAAAGAAUUACCGUUAAACACCAUAUAAUAUGUCUUCCUAAAUCAGUAUAAGUUCCAACAAGUGAAUACAGUAACAGAGUGAUGCUUGAUAAAAACAAAAGAGAGAAGACAAUAUGCUAUGAAACAGAGACUGGUAGCAAGGUUAGUUAAAGACGUUAUCGUGGAGAAAGCUAUGCUAAAACCCCCACAAUUACAAUGAUCGCUAAAUGCUAAAUCAUGACAACCGAUUUGUCUCUACUCGCUCCCUCUCUUAACGUUUUUCAGACGACCAGUCUUAGGGCAAGUUGACAAUCUAUCUUCAUGAAGACGACCAGUCUUAAGAGCAAGUUGAUAAUCUUGAUACAUCUUCAAAGAUUUGCUCCAACUGCAGAGACAUCUUCUCGUCCUUCUUGUAGGUCGUCUCCGCAAGGGCCCUGGUAUCAUCUUUGAUAUCUGACAUCUUCUCGUCCUUCUUGUCGGUCGUCUCCAACAGGGCCCUUAUGCGGCUGGUAUCAUCUUUGAUAUCUCCGACUUGGAAUGCCAUCAAAACCAUAAGGCUCGUCUUAAUAUCCGAACUGACCUUGUCUAUUUGCUCGGAGUAUAUGGGGAUUAUCUUCUUAAGCUUGUGGGCGAUCCCUGAUGACUUAUUCAUCCUGUCCACGAGCUGGGUAGCCCGGUCGAUGUCUUCUUUGAGCACCUUGAUGAGUUCGGUAGGUACCCCAUUGACAAAUUCGCCAGGUACCAACGGAGAUUGAGUGUCCAGUCGGGCAGCAAUCAGCUUGAGACACACCAAGUUGGCAUUGAGCUUGCGAACAUUCGGUUCGAGCUCUUUGUAUUUAUCGUAGAGGCGGUUAGUUUGGAAUGCGAGGCCCACGGCCCCUGCGACAACUCCGAAUGCCUCCGUCAUCGAAGGAAAGAGUGAUGCUCCGUUUUGGGUAUUCGAUCUGUUUCUGUUUCUCUUUGAGAGGGAGAGUGGUAGAGCUAGGGUAGGGUUUUGUGGGAUACUGCGUUGGACUUGGACACCAACAUUAGAAUUAUUACAAAAAAAAUAUCGAAAACCCCGUCCACAAAGUUAAUCCAUGAUUUGCCUAAUUCCAAAACUUGUCGCAGCUGUGUCACUGACUUGCCCAUUCCUCUUAGAAGAUCCUGGAGCUCGUGGCGUAGACCAUCGUUUUCUUCUUCAGACGUAGGAGCCCGGCCCCGGAUUGCUUGUGUUUCUAGACGCUGGAUUGCUCCUUUAAGUUUGGCGAUGCAUGCUUUUCCGAGGUAAUAUCCUAGUUCUUCUGCUGCAACGCGAGGUCGUCCUUGAUUACGAUGGCGGAAGUUUUCUUCUAGACGAGGGAUUGCUUCUUCCAGUUCCCGGAUGUCUUCAAGCUCUAGAUAUGGGCGGUCUUCGUGUUCCACAUUCUCUGCGAAUUUUUUUUCUAGACGGCGGAUUACUUCUUCCAGUUCAACUACUAGACGGUGUCGUUCCUGUAAUAUUCGAUUCGACGUCGGCAUUGUUCUUCUUGUCCUUAUAUUUCUGCCCUACACAAGGUUAUUUAUAGGGAUUGUUUUAUGUAAUGCUAUUCCCAACAUGAAAAAUGAAAACAUUCCUUGUGAAGCAAGUGAUAAGAAAUAUAAUCCAACUAGAAUAAGGAAUUACCAUGUUUUUGAGAAGCAAGUAAAAUCCUAUUCCCAGCAUAAAAGAAAACAUUCCUAAUACCACUAUAAUAAGGAAAGUUCUCAAAAACAUAGCACAUAUGAUUCAACACUCAACACUCUUAACUCAUACAACCUUCGGACCGUACCAUAAAAAUUGGUAGAAACUAGAGACGAAUACUCUUUAACACAAAGUAGUGCUAACUAGUAUAAUAAUGGAAGCAGAAAACCAGACUACAUUUUGACAUGAGUGAUCAAUUAGUGUCUUUUAUUUCCUUGAAUAACAAGAAAUGAUACUUAGGGUAUUUGGUUUCAUAGAUCCAACCGCCCAGCAUGCUCUGAAACAAAAUAGGCAGCCCUUCUCUAACUACCUAGCUAGGUAGUUAAAUAACGUAUUAGUGGAUUAAUCUAUGUUGUUAUUAGAACAAAAGCCAAACCAUAAAACAAAAGGCCAAACCUAAUUCUUUGUUCUCAGUACCCUCUCUUUGAAAAGUAUAGGGCUCUAGAGAAAAACGGUUGUUCUUUUAUUCUUCUUUCAACUUUUUUCUCUCAUUCUAGUUCAAGUUAAAUAAUUAGAAUUUUGCUUGUUAAGAUCAUCUCAGCAUUAUGGUGUAUAGCUCUAGAAGUCAUUACUGGUUACUUGGUUAGUAUCUAAGCCAAUCCUAAUUCUAUUCUUCUUUUAAAACAAGAAUUUGAAUCCUAAUCCUAACCAUAACUAGAAAGAAGUCUGAGAUUGCUGUAUUCUGAUGAAAAGUACCACCCGUUCUCUUUCUCCGAGUCUCAGACAUUACCAUCAAAAUGGAGACGGUGCUUUCCUGGUGAUUCAUUUGCAACAUUAUUAUUUUCAAUUUCUGAUAUUUUGAUGAAAGGAGAGAAACUGAGGAAGAGAAGAUAUCGAAGAUGUAAGACAAAUGAAAACGACAAAAGAAUGAAGAUGAAUAAGUUAAAACAAAAAAUGACUAGCAAAAUCAUUUCAAAAUUAGAACAUUUUAUGUAUUCUGUCCUUCUCUACCAGAGACCUGACAUCUCUCAUUUGUCUCAUUAUAGUGUAAUGUAAAUAGUUAAACACUAUCACCUAGCGUUCUGAUUUUUCACACUGGAAACCAAAGAAAAUUAAGUUUCAAUGACAUUGGCAUCCAAUUUCAGCUUCUGUGCAUGUGUGAAUGAGUGCAGAAAAAUCCUCAGAUUUAUAUUUGAUUUGGGAUGCAAGAAACAACACUGAGAUACUUGGUGCUAAUGGUGAAUCCCAUAGAUUUCAAUUCUCAUGCUUAUGCUUAUGUGAUAUGUGGACCAAACGCAUCUCAAAAACCAAUUAGUCUCGAUCCUUGGGUGCAACUAUGUUGCUGUGUAGUAAAUUUUACAUCCCAUUCAUCUCUGUCAACCCCAAAGUGGGAAAGAGAUAUAUAUACACACAUUCCAAAGAACACUAGCUCCCAGUAAAGUUAAUAGCUUAAUUGCAAGUUCAGUUUUCUUCAACUACAAAGCAACUCAGCAGUGCUACAAAAAAAUGGCAAGAUAUCUACAACUCACUAGAUUUUGGUGAAUUUCUUUGAUUAAAGCUCUAAUUGUGGCUAAUGAACCUGAUUACGACAGCUUAAUUACUUGGUAAAAAGAAAGAGAGUGAGGAUGAAAGCCUUGUGAAAACAUGCUGUGUCUGAACAAACACACUCGUAUGUUCUUAAUUUGAAGCUGUAAGGGGACAUGGACAUAAACUUAAGAAACACAAAAGUCAACCUUAAAGCACACAGCAGUCCUAUUUCUUCAGCACAUAUGUGCUAGUGCUACAAGUACAAAAUGCAAAAGUUCAAUGAAAUUAGCUUAAACACAUUAUUCAUAGCUAUCUCGAUGAUAAUGGAAAAGGGUAUGCAAAUGCAACAGCCUUAGAAAACUUGGAGAAACAAAAUAGUAGUAAAAACCAAAGAUCCAGCAUCUCAUAACUUUUGGUGCAAAGUAACAUAAUAGUGAAGGAACAAAACAAUGUUCGGUUUCCACAACAGACAUAGUGAGUCUGUGUGUAUGUUUGAACAGAUGCUUGAGCUAUACCUAUGUCAGCUAGCUGCAUAGAGCUAAUCGCCAACUAGGCAUAACUAUAAAAUUGAAAGCCCUCCAGUUUCUGACAACCUAGUUAGUUAUAUACCGUCUCUGCAGAUCAAUCUAGGCUAAUCAAAAUACACUAAUAUACCAAACUUAAGCCGCCAAACACACUAAUAUAUAAUGUCACCGAGGAUCAAUCAGUGGCUGCAUGCACGGCACCUGAAAUGUUGCUCAACUGUGUCAGGAGUUAUAUGCACACAUGUGCCAUGGAACCACUGCUCACAUAUGUUGCAUUGAAUCCAGUAUUCAGCUAACCCAAAGCACUUCCUACAGGCACCACAUAUAGUUUCCCCAUCAUCCUGUUCCACAAAAAAUGGACAGGUAUUAGUAAUAUGUAAACAAAUUCAAGUUUCAUGCACACACACAAACAAGUUCAAGUUCAUUUAUAUUUAUUAAAUCCCCCAAUACUAGUAACGCUUGUGCACACUCAGAUUUGUUCAAGUUCAUGGAAUGAUUGCUCUGCUUCAUAUUUGUUAUGUGGAUCACUGGAGAAGUUAAGACCUAACCAAUCAUAUUAGACUAAGCUUACCAAAAUGCAAAACUUAUAAUCCCUUCAUGCAAUUGCAGUGCACUGAAACAUACAAUAUUGAUGAAGGCCAAGAGAAAAUAAAUAUUGAUGCAUGUCUUCCACAGAAAAAGUGUCUCAAAACUGACAUUAAUCCUUAAUGUAAUUUUAUAAAAGCUGAAUACAACAUCUCAAAGAUCUCAUCUAAGACUAAUAUAGUGAGAAUAAGUAAAGCGAACUCACACUUAAUAUGGCACAAAUGUGAAAUCUUAGACCAUCUGAAGAGCACCUAGAGAAACAAAUCCAGCACAUACCAGUAUGAUUCUUCAAAAUUAUGAAUGCACCACCAAUCCCCUACCUUCCUUACUCUUCAUCUAAUUGCAACUAUGGCACUAGCACAUACAUAACCUCUAUAUCAACCCAGAAACAGAUAUGCUAGAUGUAAUAAAACAUAUAUGAACCAACCUAAAGGGGUCUCUGACUCCUUGAAAGCAAAUACUAGCACGGACACAGGGUAUCUUCACACAAUAGCCUAGAUAUCUCCAUUGUUGAUGCAUCAAGUCUAGGAAACUUACCUCUUCAGCAACCCUAGAUGUGCUAGUGCCAGCAGUCACUUCCCCUUCAGAUUCUCUGGAAAUUUCAUGUCUUCAAGAUCUUUUUCAGUCUGAUUUCCAUAUGGGUCAGCGAAUCAGGCAACAGACUGGUCAAAUUGGUUAGAAUGUCAUCGAACAGAGUGCCACCAUACUUGCCACCACAGUUGCCAUCAACAACAAUACUGAAACACUUGCCAUCAUCGAGGUUAAACUUAUCAUCGAGCUUAAAAUCCUCUAACCUGAGUGAAUCAUCGAGCAAAUGCUUCUGGAAAUCCUUAUAAAGUUUAUUUUGCUGACGAUGAAUGUCUUGAUACUAUCAUUUAGCUGCUGGACUUGAGAGACGUAUGCCUUGAUACCAUCAGCUAGAUGAUAGUAUCAAGACAUUCAUCCAUCAGCAAAAUAAACUUUAUAAGGAUUUCCAUAAGCAUUUGCUCGAUGAUUCACUCAGGUUAGAGGAUUUUAAGCUCGAUGAUAAGUUUAAAUCUCGAUGAUAACAUGGCAAGUGUUUCAGUAUUGUUGUUGAUGACAACUGUGGUGGCAAGUAUGGUGGUACUCUGUUCGACAACAUUCUAACCAAUUUGAUCGGCUUGUUGCCUGAUUCGCUGACCCAUAUGGAAAUCAGACUGAAAAAGAUCUUGAAGAUUCAUGGAAUUUCCAGAGAAUCUGAUGGGAAGACUGCGCGUGAUCUGACAUCCGGUGGAAAUUGGAUGUGAUGUCCUUCUCCAAAUCCGGCCUCAACAACAUCCCCCGAAAUAGAAGACGACCAGUCUUAGGGCAAGUUGACAAUAUAUCUUCAUGAAGACGACCAGUCUUAGAGCAAGUUGAUAAUCUUGAUACAUCUUUAAAGAUUUGCUCCAACUGCAGAGACAUCUUCUCGUCCUUCUUGUCGGUCGUCUCCAGAAGGGCCCUUAUGUGGGUGGUAUCAUCUUUAAUUUCAGAGGAUUGGAGUGACGUCAAAACUAUAAGGCUUAACUGGAAAUCCGAACUGACCUUGUCCAUUUGCUGGGAAUAUACGGGGAUUAUUUUCUUGAGCUUGUGGGCGAUCCCUGAUGACUUAUUCAUCCUGCCCACGAGCUGGAUAGCCCAGUCGAUGUCUUCUUUGAGCACCUUGAUGAGUUCGGUAGGUACCCCAUUGACAAAUUCUCCAGGUACCAGCGGAGAUUGAGUGUCCAGUCGCCUUGAGACAGCCCACGGCCCCUGCGACAACUCCGAAUGCCUCGGCCAUCGAAGGAGAGAGUGUUGCGCCGUUUUGGGAAUUCGAUCUGUUUCUGUUUCUCUUUGAGAGGGAGAGUGGUAGAGCUAGGGUAAGGUUUUGUGGGAUACUGCGUUGGACUUGGACACCAACAUUAGCAUAGUAGCAGGCCUCUUGUGCUGCUAGCUCAUUUUGUGGUUCUAGCCCAACUUACUAAAUAUCUUCUUUGUCUCUUAUCCUGUU